GGGGAAUAUUGCACAAUGGGCGAAAGCCUGAUGCAGCAACGCCGCGUGAGUGAUGAAGGUCUUCGGAUUGUAAAGCUCUGUCUUUUGGGACGAUAAUGACGGUACCAAAGGAGGAAGCCACGGCUAACUACGUGCCAGCAGCCGCGGUAAUACGUAGGUGGCGAGCGUUGUCCGGAUUUGCUGGGCGUAAAGGGUGCGUAGGCGGAUGUUUAAGUGAGAUGUGAAAUACCCGGGCUUAACUUGGGUGCUGCAUUUCAAACUGGAUAUCUAGAGUGCAGGAGAGGAGAAUGGAAUUCCUAGUGUAGCGGUGAAAUGCGUAGAGAUUAGGAAGAACAACCAGUGGCGAAGGCGAUUCUCUGGACUGUAACUGACGCUGAGGCACGAAAGCGUGGGUAGCAAACAGGAUUAGAUACCCUGGUAGUCCACGCCGUAAACGAUGAGUACUAGGUG
RNAcentral lists this ribosomal RNA (450 nucleotides) under uncultured bacterium. RNAcentral's name for it is "partial 16S ribosomal RNA". It matches the Rfam family "Bacterial small subunit ribosomal RNA", at positions 356 to 822 of the family's 1533-position model. The record is from RNAcentral.